RNAcentral lists this ribosomal RNA (253 nucleotides) under uncultured bacterium. RNAcentral's name for it is "partial 16S ribosomal RNA". It matches the Rfam family "Bacterial small subunit ribosomal RNA", at positions 524 to 776 of the family's 1533-position model. The record is from RNAcentral.
GGCAGAGGGGGCGAGCGUUGUCCGGAGUCACUGGGCGGAAAGCGCGCGCAGGCGGCAAACUAAGUGUCGUGUGAAAGCCCCCGGCUCAACCGGGGGAGGCCAUGGCAAACCGGGUCGCUCGAGCUGCGGAGAGGCCCCUCGAAUUGCCGGUGUAGCGGUGAAAUGCGUAGAGAUCGGAAGGAAGACCAAGGGGGAAGCCAGGGGGCUGGCCGCAGGCCGACGCUGAGGCGCGACAGCCUGGGGAGCAAACCGG